RNAcentral lists this unclassified non-coding RNA (339 nucleotides) under soil metagenome. RNAcentral's name for it is "partial contains 5.8S ribosomal RNA, internal transcribed spacer 2, and large subunit ribosomal RNA". The stretch from base 1 to 120 matches the Rfam family "5.8S ribosomal RNA", at positions 35 to 154 of the family's 154-position model. The record is from RNAcentral.
GAUGAAGAACGCAGCGAAAUGCGAUACGUAGUGUGAAUUGCAGAAUUCAGUGAAUCAUCGAAUCUUCGAACGCACAUUGCACCUCUCGGUAUUCCGGGAGGUAUGCCUGUUCGAGCGUCAUUUGUACCCUCAAGCUCUGCUUGGUGUUGGGUGUUUGUUCCGCCUCUGUGUGUGAACUCGCCUCAAAACAAUUGGCAGCCGGCGUACUUGUUUCGGAGCGCAGCACAUUUUGCGAUCCAGAUCAACGUACAGCGGCAUCCAAGAAGCCUUAUUUAACGCUCUUGACCUCGGAUCAGGUAGGGAUACCCGCUGAACUUAAGCAUAUCAAUAAGCGGAGGA